RNAcentral lists this ribosomal RNA (450 nucleotides) under uncultured bacterium. RNAcentral's name for it is "bacterial SSU rRNA". It matches the Rfam family "Bacterial small subunit ribosomal RNA", at positions 45 to 534 of the family's 1533-position model. The record is from RNAcentral.
GGCCUAACACAUGCAAGUCGAACGGGUGUAGCAAUACAUCAGUGGCAGACGGGUGGGUAACACGUGGGAACCUUCCUCGUUGUACGGAACAACUCAGGGAAACUUGAGCUAAUACCGUAUACGUCCGAGAGGAGAAAGAUUUAUCGCAAUGAGACGGGCCCGCGUCGGAUUAGCUAGUUGGUGGGGUAACGGCCUACCAAGGCGACGAUCCGUAGCUGAUCUGAGAGGAUGAUCAGCCACACUGGGACUGAGACACGGCCCAGACUCCUACGGGAGGCAGCAGUGGGGAAUAUUGCACAAUGGGCGAAAGCCUGAUGCAGCGACGCCGCGUGAGGGAUGACGGCCUUCGGGUUGUAAACCUCUUUCAGUAGGGAAGAAGCGAAAGUGACGGUACCUGCAGAAGAAGCGCCGGCUAACUACGUGCCAGCAGCCGCGGUAAUACGUAGGGCG